RNAcentral lists this ribosomal RNA (253 nucleotides) under uncultured bacterium. Its description in RNAcentral is "partial 16S ribosomal RNA". It matches the Rfam family "Bacterial small subunit ribosomal RNA", at positions 524 to 776 of the family's 1533-position model. The record is from RNAcentral.
UACGUAGGGUGCGAGCGUUGUCCGGAAUUAUUGGGCGUAAAGAGCUCGUAGGCGGUUUGUCACGUCUGCUGUGAAAUCCCGAGGCUCAACCUCGGGCCUGCAGUGGGUACGGGCAGACUGGAGUGCGGUAGGGGAGAAUGGAAUUCCUGGUGUAGCGGUGGAAUGCGCAGAUAUCAGGAGGAACACCGAUGGCGAAGGCAGGUCUCUGGGCCAUAACUGACGCUGAGAAGCGAAAGCAUGGGGAGCGAACAGG